ACAUGUUGCAAAAUAACAAAAAAUGUUUAUUUCUUCCUGUUUAAGAUAGCAAACAGGUUCUUAAGUAUUUACAUUCUUACAGUGGAUAAUAUAAUAGAGGUGUUUUAUAUUUCAGCAAUUCGACAGUUCAGAAUGAGUAACCCAAACACAGUGGUGGUUAUACCAAAAGUUAUAUGUCGUAGAUUUUCUACGGGAACCUUGCAAUAUAUUAAACAGACUGAAGAGAUAAAUGCUGGAAAGAGAAUUUGGGACAAAUGGGCGAAAGGAGUUUUAGUAUGUAUAAGUCUAGGAGGACUUAGUUUUUCUGCAGUUAGCACAAGAAAUCUGUAUGAUUCCAAACAGAAGUGUAAGGCAUACUGGAAUAGACGAUGAUAAUGAAUAAUUAGACACAGAGAUCUUUUAUUUAUUUCGGUGGAACCCAUCAGAUGUUGGCCAUAUGUUCAGUGAAAUUCAGAAAACCCAAGGCUUUUAGUGACACAGUAUAUAUUUAGUCAGCUGAAAUUCUACACACCUGUUUGAUAGUGAUGAAGGUGUUUUACAUGGUCAGAUGCUUCAAGUAACAUUAACAUUGUCAGAUAAAAUUCUACAGGCCUAGUGUACAGCUCAGAAGAGUUUUUCAAAAACAUAUUGCCUUGUGAAAUCAUUGAUAUUCAUGGAGGACUAGUUUUCAUGGAUUUUAAGGAUGCGACAGUCCGGGAAAGUAAAUUUCCCAUUCAUCUUGUCUUCGAAGUUUGGAAUAUACAAAUUCAUAUCUCCACAAAAAGCUGUUUUUGCAAUAACAAUAAAAUUACAUCUCAAGAAAUUAAAUGAGCCGUGCCAUGAGAAAACCAACAUAGUGGGUAUGCGACCAGCAUGGAUCCAGACCAGCCUGCGCAUCCGCGCAGUCUGGUCAGGCUCCAUGCUGUUCGCUAACAGUUUCUCCAAUUCCAAUAGGCUUUAAAAGCGAACAGCAUAGAGUCAGACCAGACUGCGCGGAUGCGCAGGCUGGUCUGGAUCCAUGCUGGUCGCAUACCCACUAUGUUGGUUUUCCAUUGGCACGGCUCAAAUGGUUUUGCAGUAUAUCGCUAGAUGACUUAUUUCUAAAACAUGCAUAUGAGGACGUUUUAUAUGAAAUACAAGGAUAUUAUUAACGUACAUGUACACAGAAUGAGAUUGUGACAGUAAAUAAGGUCUUUGAGGUUACAAGUCAAAACACAAUGUAUGUCAUGUGGAUAAGUAUAGGAGUAAGAAAAUAUGAAGUGCUGUGUACAUGUUAAAACUGGUGCUAGCUGACGGGGGGUGGGGGGGGGGGGGUGCAAGAGAUGGGGGGGAAAAGUCUUUGAAAUUGUCACAUUAUAAGGUUAUAUCUUGCAGCUUUUAAUUUAUAGAUUAUCAUGACUGUACAGUAAUGUGAUAACUGUUUCAUGAUAUCUUUGAGAUGUUUAAUGCAAUAUUUGCAUGUCAUUCAUAGAAUUUCAGCUAAGUUGACAGUGAUGAGUGAACAUCGGGGUAUUAAAAUAGUACAUGUAAGUGAUAUUUUAUUGAAAAAGUUAUGUUCUAACUAAUUAACAUUCUGUUGAAGUUUUGUCUAAACAGAUAUCUAUUUACAUGUAAUUGUUGUAGUGUUAAACUGUUGAAACAAUGCAAAAAAAUAUUUGAAAUUUUAUUAUAUAUUUUCCUAUUGUUGCAUUUGUCAUGCUUUAAAUGUUAAAUACAUGUAGGGCCUAAUGUAGGUACCAUUAAAGCCCAGUAUACUUGACAUAAUGUAUCAGAGCUUGACUGCAUCAUUACUGAAGGGAAAGAGGUUUUAAAACUGAGGUUCCAGUGUACAAACUCCAAUCUCUGAUUGGUUGUAUCUGAGCACAGAUUUAAAAUUGACCAAUGGUUGCAUUCUUAGACGUGUCUCCUAACUCAGUUAUAAUGUUGGAUCCUGAUCUCGAUCUGUCAGAUAUUGAUCACUUAUCUGUAUUCAGAUCCUAUGUUUUAUAGUACCAAAAGGAACUUCAUUUAAUAUUCUAAAGAUCCGAGUUAGAAACUUUGGUUUUUCGCAAAAUUAGCCAUUCUGUUCUGUUCUGUAUUAAUCCUUUCCCUCCUUCGUAGGAGAACCGCACUGAUGCAUAAUCCUUAUUGAAUUCUGGAAUCCCUCCACCAACACAAGUUCUCAGAUUUCAAUUUGGAGACAGUAGGACUAUAGUUAAAUUAAGCUAUAGGCCAGUUAAUUGUGUGGAUAACAAUUAGUGGAUUUUGUUGUUUGUUGGAAUUUUGCUUUAUCUGUUUUUAACUGAAAAUUUUGGAAAACUUUACCUCCUAUACCAACACAGUUUCGUUGUAAAGGAAGAAUGUUAUUUCACCUUGCUACUAUGGCUCAGACUUAACAGAAUGGAUAAAUAAUGUACCAGUUUCACUGGCAGUACUUUUUGAUUAAUGUAAAACCGUUUAAAUUUGUAGUGACAAAAUUUACGGCUUUAGUCAAAAGGCUCUUUCGUUGAUUUCACAUUUUGAAAAUAAAAGGAAUGGCAUAUGCUUUGGAAUUACAUUCAUUAAUUGACAGCUGGAGCAGGAACAUCAGUUGCCUGAAUUCACAAUAUAUUUACUUGCACGAUAUAUAGGAAGUAUAAUGGAAGCUCAUGGUUUUGUUUUCACUCAAUAUUGACAUGUUUAGGAAAAGUCAUUAUUUAUCAUGUUUCAUAGAAAUCACAUUUUAAUUGUCACCUACUUUAACAAGUAAUAUUACAUUUUGCUGUUGAAUAAAAAGUUAUAGUUGUAAAA
Long non-coding RNA from Mercenaria mercenaria, 2748 nucleotides. RefSeq lists it as uncharacterized. The record is from RefSeq and is a predicted model, not a curated record. The transcript has 3 exons. NCBI's taxonomy places the organism in Eukaryota, Metazoa, Mollusca, Bivalvia, Venerida, Veneridae.